GGGGGUGAAAGGGUUCGACUUGAGAUAGUCGGAUAAGAGCAGCAUGUCGCGGACGCAUGGUUAGCCGCGUUAAUAACCCGUGCACAAUUCAAACGCAAACACGACAGUGUCACGUUUAGGGCCGGCAUUGGGAUUGUCCUUUGGGGCAAGACCGAUGUUUAUCCCAACAGUCUGCUUUAACUAAGUUAGAGCAGCCUCUAACCGUCCAGCCUACGGGAUGGAUUAGGGCCUUGGUAGGAUAGUCUCGGCGGUUAGCCGUCCAAGCCGGGAUGAAAUCGAAAAGGCUGCGCUUUGCAAAUCCUGCCUGGUAGAAGUUGCAAGGCUAAGA
RNAcentral lists this transfer-messenger RNA (328 nucleotides) under Candidatus Pacebacteria bacterium CG_4_10_14_0_8_um_filter_42_14. RNAcentral's name for it is "partial transfer-messenger RNA". It matches the Rfam family "transfer-messenger RNA", at positions 1 to 277 of the family's 374-position model. Rfam says of the family: Bacterial tmRNA, also known as 10Sa RNA or SsrA, is named for its dual tRNA and mRNA-like properties. Its role is to liberate the mRNA from a stalled ribosome. To accomplish this part of the tmRNA is used as a reading frame that ends in a translation stop signal. The record is from RNAcentral. Lineage: Bacteria; Bacillati; Minisyncoccota.